Beta vulgaris subsp. vulgaris (sugar beet) is the source of this 1364-nucleotide long non-coding RNA. RefSeq lists it as uncharacterized. The transcript has 2 exons. The record is from RefSeq and is a predicted model, not a curated record. Lineage: Eukaryota; Viridiplantae; Streptophyta; Magnoliopsida; Caryophyllales; Amaranthaceae.
GGUCAACCUGCUUAACCCAAUUCAUCCAAAUAAUUACACUUUAUGAAAAUCCAAAAAAUCUAAGUUUGUCUAGCCGAAAAUAUGUCCAACCCAAAAUAUUGUCACUCACCUCACCCUAAAAUUUUAACGGACACAUACACUCACCUCAUCCUAGUGUAACCUAAUCCUAAGUUUCUAACACAUACAUUUUUAUUUCACUCAUCUCACUCUCAAUCUCUCACUCUCUCAAUCGCUGCUCUUCUUCGUUGAAAGAUCCAGAUGACUUGGAAGUAAAUUAAACCAAGAGAUUGAUACAACUGAAACAAGACUUUUUCGAAAUGAUGAAGCUACAUUAUUUGUAUUCUUUUAGACAAUUUUGUUUGGGAUUAAAUUGUUGUUUUGCUUGAGAAUUUUAAGAUGCACUUGUUUGAAAAGUCAGGUUAAAUGAACAAAAUCAGGUUAGCCAGGUUAAGCCAUCUCUAAAUAUAACAACCUGAUUUAUACCCAAAAUAAAAGUUUUUAAGUCAAAUCAGGUCAUUAUCGGAUUGACCCAAACCCGAAAUUAUCAGGUUCAGGUUGUGUUUUUCAACCUGAAAGCUUAAAUGGGUCAGGUUCGGGUUGGGGGUGGCUGACUCGAAAUCAGCUGACCCGAAUACGAACUCGACCCGACCUGAUCUGUUUGACUCCCCUAUAUCUUCACCAUUUUUGGGUGGAAGUGUUCAUAGCAGUAAUUGAUCUACAACUUCAAGAACUUAACAACCGUUUUGAUGAGGUUAAUAUGGAGUUGCUUAAAUGCAUGGCUUGCUUGUGUCCCAACUCCCAAAAGAUCGAUUCACUUCUUUCAACAAGGAAAAGGUACUUAAACUUGCCACUCCUUAUCCUUUUGAGUAUACAACUAAUGAUUUGGAUACUCUUGAUUGUCAAUAACUUGAUAUAUUUAUGGAAGAUAUGCGAGAUGAUAGUGGUGAAUUUCAAGAUGUCAAUGAUCUUUCUUCCCUUUCAAUGAAGUUUGUUGAAACAAAUAGGAAUGAAGCUUAGCCACUUGUAUUUUUGCUCAUUAAGUUGAUGUUGAUUCUUCUCAUUGCUACGGCAAGUGUGGAAAGAGUGUUUCCGAAAAUGACUUACAUAAAAAGUAAGUUGUGAAAUAGCAUCGGUGAUCAACUUGAAUGAUUGUCUGGUCACUUUUCUUGAGAAAGAAGUGUUUCAUCAAGUUUUCGAUGAUGAUAUUAUUGAUCGUUUCCAACAAAAUGAAGACUCGUCGAACGCACUUGUAAUUUUUUUUAUUUAUUUAUGUAAUUUUUUCUUAGCUUGGGAUGUAUGACAAUGAAUAUUAGACGAUGUUUCUUUGCGUUGUAAAAUUUUCAAUAUUGAAUAUCUUUUGUCUU